RNAcentral lists this ribosomal RNA (253 nucleotides) under uncultured bacterium. RNAcentral's name for it is "partial 16S ribosomal RNA". It matches the Rfam family "Bacterial small subunit ribosomal RNA", at positions 524 to 776 of the family's 1533-position model. The record is from RNAcentral.
UACGUAGGUGGCAAGCGUUGUCCGGAUUUACUGGGCGUAAAGGGCGCGUAGGUGGCGUCGCAAGUCAACGGUGAAAGCUCGACGCUUAACGUCGAGUCGGCCGUCGAAACUGCGAGGCUCGAGCACUGUAGAGGCUCAUGGAAUUCCGGGUGUAGCGGUGGAAUGCGUAGAGAUCCGGAAGAACACCGGUGGCGAAGGCGGUGAGCUGGGCAGUUGCUGACACUGAGGCGCGACAGCGUGGGGAGCAAACAGG